ACACCGGCAGCUCAAGUGGUAGCCGCUUUUAUUGGGCCUAAAGCGUCCGUAGCCGGUCUGAUAAGUCUCUGGUGAAAUCCCACAGCUUCACUGUGGGAAUUGCUGGAGAUACUAUCAUGACUCGAGGUCGGGAGAGGCUGGAGGUACUCCCAGGGUAGGGGUGAAAUCCUGUAAUCCUGGGAGGACCACCUGUGGCGAAGGCGUCCAGCUGGAACGAACCUGACGGUGAGGGACGAAAGCCAGGGGCGCGAACCGGAUUAGAUACCCGGGUAGUCCUGGCCGUAAACGAUGUGGACUUGGUGUUGGGAUGGCUUCGAGCUGCCCCAGUGCCGAAGGGAAGCUGUUAAGUCCACCGCCUGGGAAGUACGGCCGCAAGGCUGAAACUUAAAGGAAUUGGCGGGG
RNAcentral lists this ribosomal RNA (402 nucleotides) under uncultured bacterium. Its description in RNAcentral is "partial 16S ribosomal RNA". It matches the Rfam family "Archaeal small subunit ribosomal RNA", at positions 473 to 873 of the family's 1478-position model. The record is from RNAcentral.